RNAcentral lists this ribosomal RNA (394 nucleotides) under uncultured bacterium. RNAcentral describes it as "partial 16S ribosomal RNA". It matches the Rfam family "Bacterial small subunit ribosomal RNA", at positions 523 to 916 of the family's 1533-position model. The record is from RNAcentral.
AUACGUAGGGGGCGAGCGUUGUCCGGAAUGAUUGGGCGUAAAGGGCGCGUAGGCGGCCCGGUAAGUCUGGAGUGAAAGGCCUGUUUUUAAGAUGGGAAUUGCUUUGGAUACUGUCGGGCUUGAGUGCAGGAGAGGUAGGUGGAAUUCCCAGUGUAGCGGUGAAAUGCGUAGAUAUUGGGAAGAACACCGGUGGCGAAGGCGGCCAACUGGACCACAACUGACGCUGAGGCGCGAAAGCGUGGGGAGCAAACAGGAUUAGAUACCCUGGUAGUCCACGCUGUAAACUAUGUGUGCUUGACGUCGGAGGGCAUAGCCCCUCGGUGUCGGAGUUAACACGGUAAGCACACCGCCUGGGGAGUACGGUCGCAAGAUUAAAACUCAAAGGAAUUGACGG